Molecule: RNA transcript, 3347 nt
Organism: Triticum aestivum (bread wheat)
Lineage: Eukaryota; Viridiplantae; Streptophyta; Magnoliopsida; Poales; Poaceae
Gene name: protein RFT1 homolog
Exons: 15
Source: RefSeq, a predicted model, not a curated record
AUGAGCAAGGAGGAUGCCACCGCGAAAGAAAACGUUUCAGCAGGAGCCCUGCACUCCCUCGACCUAACCCUCCCGCCGCCGCCAGGGCCGGCUCCACCCCGCCGCCGGCCGGCGCUCUCCUCCACCGCGAGACCCGGCACUUCCAGGGCCAUUCCCCCCAGUUCCCUUCCAGGACACACCUCGACGCAGCAUCCUCACCAGCAUCCCCACCCCGACGGCCAGCUCCACCCCGCUGCCGGCCGGUGGUCACCUCGACGGAUCCCGCCUCAACCUCUGAGCCCCCUCUCCGACGCCAUAAACCCUAGGCCGAACUGGGCUGCUUCCAGCCGGCCAGCAGCCUCCCCAGCUGGGCUGCCUCGCUGGGAGAAGCUACUUCGGUGCCGAACGUUUCUGAAAUCGCCACUUGGAGUUAGAAGCUGCGUUUGGAAGCUGAAUUUGAGGAUUUUCAGAAGCUUGGAGAGCCCUAGGCAGCACCCCUCGCCGCCGCUGGACUCUUCGCCCCCGCGCCGCUAUGAUGGCUAUGGCGCUGCUCGCCAGCGCCGCGGGGACUGCCGGAGCCGUGGCGUCCCCUCAGCCUGACUCCGACGCAGGUGCUGUGAUGGCUGUAUUCAAGUACAACUUCGCGGCGCAGUUCCUUUCGAGGAUCAUCCCCUUCUUGUACAACGGCUGGUUCGUGCGCCAGCUCAGCGCCGACGACUGCGCGGCAUAUGCAUUGCAGCUUCCACUUUUCAUCAAUUGUGUCUUAUUUUUAAGCCGAGAGGGGUUUCGGCGUGCUUGCUUGCGUAAUAAUUCUGGGAGUGGUGAUGUGUUGAGUGACGAAGAGAUACUGAAGGUAGCUUGGAUGAUCAUCCCGUUUGGCUUGUUUGUGACUUUUAUUGGCAGUCUAUUUGUGUUCAGAAUAAAGAAACUGAAGUUAUCUGACCCUUAUGCAAAAGCUACGUUAAUCAUCGGAUUUGCGUGUAUCUUGGAGCUACUGGCAGAACCUUUGUAUAUUCUUUCCCAGACGAAGAAAUACUACAUAAUAAGAGUGUAUACGGAACCUGCAGCUACUCUGCUACGUUGCCUAACAACUUAUAUCUUCAUAAAAGGACAUAUUAAAGUGGAGAAGCUGGUCGUAUUUGCUUUGUCUCAGGUUGUCUAUGCGGCCUGCAUUUUCAUUGGAUAUUGGGCAUAUUUUCUUUUAUUUGCUAAUAUCAGAACUUUUGAUCUCCUUCCAUUCAGGUUGUCAACCCUGAUGGUCUACGAUAAACAGUUAUUGCACAUGUGCAUAUUGUUUACAGGCCAGACUAUCAGGAAACUGAUCCUCCAAGAAGGCGAAAAAUUUGUUCUUGUUUGGUUUGAUACUCCAUUUAACCAGGCUGCAUACGGUCUUGUGGAUAAAUUAGGAAGUCUGGUUGUUCGAAUAAUUUUCCUGCCAUUUGAGGAGAGUUCUUAUGCUACAUUCACCCAAUUAGCAUCAGGGCAAACUCCUGAGAAUGUAUCCAAUCUGGAAGGUUCUUUGCUCGGAGCUCUUAAACUUAUUACGCUGAUAGGUCUCGUGGUCAUUUCUUUUGGUCCAAGUUAUUCAUACACCCUUCUGAAUCUAUUAUAUGGAAGAAGAUAUAGUGAUGGCGAAGCUACAGCUGUCCUCCGUUUCUAUUGUGUUUACAUAAUCUUCUUAGCAAUGAAUGGCACUUCUGAAGCUUUCCUUCAUUCUGUUGCCAAUGAAAGCCAGCUUAAGCAGUCAAACAAUAUGUUGCUCCUCUUCUCAGCAAUUUAUACUGUUCUAAAUGUUGCUUUUAUUAAAUCUGCCGGAGCUGUUGGGUUGAUUGCUGCAAAUUCUGUCAAUAUGCUACUGCGAAUCUCAUAUUCUGCAGUAUUCAUCAAUGAGUAUUUUAAGGGCUCAUUCUCCUUCUACCGCUGCUUGCCAGCGGGCUGGGGCGUUCUGCUCAUUUCUGGUCUGACCACAGCUUUCUCCGAGAGGAUGUUUCUGAAUAGAAAUAGGUUCAAGCAGACCCUUCCCAUUCACAUGGUGAUAGGCAUCAUGUGCCUGGGCUUCUCAUUGCUUGAGAUAUACCGUGGCGAAAAGCAGUUCUUGGUGAGCAUCAUCAAAUCAUUGAAGGGUCACGACAUACACACAUGAAUUUAUAUAUUUGGGGCAAGUGAAUUUACCCCAGAUAUAUACUCCCUCCGUUCCAAAAUAGAUGACUCGACUUUGUACUAACCAAAGUUGAGUCAUCUAUUUUGGAACGGAGGGAGUAAAUGAUAUUUCCAUACAACAUGCGUGCUGUAAAUUCUUGUAUACUGGCUAGAGUACCAAUGAAGGGAGCUGGACCCAGCAGCUGGAGAGGCUUCUGAAAGAACAGAUCAAAUUGACCGAAAUCAUAAAUCGCCGCUAUGCAGUGAAUUGAAUUGCUGGGACAAGUUAUAGAGGCGACAUAAAGCAUAGAUCAUCUGGGUAGAUAGGUGUGGAAUAUUUCCAAUUUAUGAGAAGCAUCAAGACUGAUUUUGGUAAAUCGUUUGAGAAACAGGACAAUUACGGCGAAACUAUUUUAAAUUGUGUGGAACACUCGAUUUUUACUAGUUAUCAACCAGUGUAGAAACUUUAAAAUUCGAAAAGCAGAUAGUAUGUUUUCUGAAGUUAUAGUACUUUUGUAGGUCAGCAUAUGAAUUUCUUCCAAUUUCUUGAUGCAUCAAUUAUAUGAUAUGAAAUGCAACAAUUUAAUAUUUUGCAUUUCUUCAUUUUUUAGUUACAAGUCCUGAAACACUAGAAAAUGGGUUUAGUUCAAGCCAGUUUAUUUGUGAUUUCGUCGUCAUGUUUCAAAUUAUGGCGUCGGUUUAAGAAUAUGGUUGUAUGUGGGAUUUUCCAAGAACGGGAACUUUUCAUGGAGGCCUCAAACAUUUCAUAGUCUCUUGGUCUCCAGUGACCUCGGCGUUCCACCUGCAUUAUCUUGCAAGGUAAAUCUCCUUUAAGCAGUUGUGGUGAUGCUGUUGGAGACUUUUUUUGGAACAAAAAGGUAGGUCAUUUUCUACCUUAUGCAUUUAAAACGGGUAAAAAUGCCCAGAUGACCAAAGUCAUUUACAUGAAGACGAUGUUAACGCUGCACAAAGACAUGCAGCAGGCCAUCACCAAACCUCUAUGGAAAGAAAAGAGUAAAGAGGCGAGGAAGACAGCUAUGCGGACGUGAUUACAUUUGUCCAUGCAACUAGAGCUUGUUUGACAGUCCCUUCUGCUGCCCUCAUGCUGUCGGAGACUGGUUAGGCAAGUUUUGUAUAUGAGAGAAUUGUUCAGGUGUUUUUCUUUUGGAAAUUAGUUCGUGUGUGUUGGUUGGUUCAGUCCCUCUCUGCGUAUUAAUGGAGCUAGCCAA